AUUGAACGCUGGCGGCAGGCUUAACACAUGCAAGUCGAGCGGGGGAAGGUAGCUUGCUACUGGACCUAGCGGCGGACGGGUGAGUAAUGCUUAGGAAUCUGCCUAUUAGUGGGGGACAACAUCUCGAAAGGGAUGCUAAUACCGCAUACGUCCUACGGGAGAAAGCAGGGGAUCUUCGGACCUUGCGCUAAUAGAUGAGCCUAAGUCGGAUUAGCUAGUUGGUGGGGUAAAGGCCUACCGAGGCGACGAUCUGUAGCGGGUCUGAGAGGAUGAUCCGCCACACUGGGACUGGGGAACGGCCCAGACUCCUACGGGAGGCAGCAGUGGGGAAUAUUGGGCAAUGGGGGGAACCCUGAUCCAGCCAUGCCGCGUGUGUGAAGAAGGCCUUAUGGUUGUAAAGCACUUUAAGCGAGGAGGAGGCUACUCUAGUUAAUACCUAGGGAUAGUGGACGUUACUCGCAGAAUAAGCACCGGCUAACUCUGUGCCAGCCGCCGCAGUAA
Molecule: ribosomal RNA, 501 nt
Filed under: uncultured bacterium
Lineage: Bacteria
Description: partial 16S ribosomal RNA
Rfam family: Bacterial small subunit ribosomal RNA
Source: RNAcentral